GAAUAUUGGACAAUGGGCGAAAGCCUGAUCCAGCAAUGCCGCGUGAGUGAUGAAGGCCUUAGGGUUGUAAAGCUCUUUUACCAGGGAUGAUAAUGACAGUACCGGGAGAAUAAGCCCCGGCUAACUCCGUGCCAGCAGCCGCGGUAAUACGGAGGGGGCUAGCGUUGUUCGGAAUUACUGGGCGUAAAGCGCGCGUAGGCGGCUUUGUAAGUUAGAGGUGAAAGCCCAGGGCUCAACCCUGGAAUUGCCUUUAAGACUGCAUCGCUAGAAUCAUGGAGAGGUUAGUGGAAUUCCGAGUGUAGAGGUGAAAUUCGUAGAUAUUCGGAAGAACACCAGUGGCGAAGGCGACUAACUGGACAUGUAUUGACGCUGAGGUGCGAAAGCGUGGGGAGCAAACAGGA
RNAcentral lists this ribosomal RNA (401 nucleotides) under uncultured bacterium. RNAcentral's name for it is "bacterial SSU rRNA". It matches the Rfam family "Bacterial small subunit ribosomal RNA", at positions 359 to 777 of the family's 1533-position model. The record is from RNAcentral.